This 1012-nucleotide long non-coding RNA is filed under the name Solanum tuberosum (potato). Its description in RNAcentral is "long non-coding RNA (STUB_LNC003302)". Lineage: Eukaryota; Viridiplantae; Streptophyta; Magnoliopsida; Solanales; Solanaceae. The record is from RNAcentral.
UUUCCUGCAUGUACUGGAUAUUUUUGGCCUCUGCACCCAGUUCCAUAUGUGGGGUAAUGCUGUCUUUGGGAGUACCAUUGGCAUCAGUGCUGCUUGUUGGAAUAGUUUCCUCCCUUUCCAAUGUAAGUAGAGGAUAUGCUGCUUGCUCGUGUAUCUGCUUAGUUGUAUUGCUCUCAUUGCUCACCAUGUUAUCCAUCGCUAUCUCCUUUUCCGAAACCGUAACAGAUUUCAAUGAUGUGAAAUGUUCGGUUACUUUUUCCUGUUCGCCCCUUGUCUUUUCCUCUGGUACACGUCCUACUUGGGCACCUGGAGCAUUUUCAACUCUUACUUCAUGUAUUUUGUUUGUUUCGUUGCAUGUUAUCAUCUCUCCGGAACUUGCUGCUGUUUUUCGUUCUGAUCCAAAAGGUUCCAAACUUACUCUUUCGGGUUCACUUAUUGUUGUUUCCUCCUCUUUUUGCACCUGUGUUGUGUUGUUGUUUGAGGAAUCUUCGCUGGUGGUCUCUCUUAAAUCUUCUUCUUGUUCCUCCUAUGAAUUCAUAAUUCGCCGUCAGAUGCGUGAGUAAACAGGGGAGGCAGGGGGGAGUAAGAAAAGAUUGGAAUAAUGUUUUUUGCUUCUAUUUUUUUAUCUUUGUUUUUUCCAUCUUUGACACCUACGAACAUUGGUAGUCUCCAGUAGACUUUUCCUUAGCCAGCUGUGGCUGAAAGGGAUUUCAUCUUAGUGAUCUUUUCUAGAGUAGUUUUAUGAACUGUCAUAUAAUGUCUGUGUAUAUCAAGGUGGUGUGUAUCCUGCAAACAAUUUACUAAUAUAAUUCAAGUUUGUAAUUUACAUCAAUACUUUGUUUCCUCUCGUUAAAUCAUUUUCAGCUGGACCUGUAUGUAAUUAACCUAUGUGCUGAAUAUUUCAUGCAGUUUGAGUUCAAUCAUUUUCUAUCAGCAACCUCUUUCCUAGACAGGAGGGAGUAAAACGGAUCAAAUCAUGCUGAUAAAAUAUUAAGAUGGAAUAUAAGUGUGC